UUUUUCGCGAAAAAUGAUACCAAUUCGCUGAAAUUCAUACUAGUAAUGUUUUUGGGGUCGCCGAUUCCGAAAACGAAUGUAAAAAUGCGAAAUUAAAAAUGGUGGACCGAAAAUGGCGGGAAUAUUUCGUGAAAAAUGCGUGCACACACCACAGUCCCGCGCGAGUCUCGACAAUGGUCACUUUCGAGGGCUUACCACAGGCCAUGGAAUGAAUAUGAACAUCUGCCCGUUUGGAUUUCAAAGCUCUAAUGCUAUCUAUUGACAAAUAUGUGAAGCUUUACCUCGGAUGAUAACUUUCGGUUUUGGGGGUUUUGGCCAAGAAUUCGGGCUUUCGGACCACUGUGCGCCG
This is a long non-coding RNA of Neodiprion fabricii, 349 nucleotides long. RefSeq lists it as uncharacterized. The record is from RefSeq and is a predicted model, not a curated record. The transcript is spliced from 2 exons. NCBI's taxonomy places the organism in Eukaryota, Metazoa, Arthropoda, Insecta, Hymenoptera, Diprionidae.